Molecule: ribosomal RNA, 501 nt
Filed under: uncultured bacterium
Lineage: Bacteria
Description: partial 16S ribosomal RNA
Rfam family: Bacterial small subunit ribosomal RNA
Source: RNAcentral
AUUGAACGCUGGCGGCAUGCCUUACACAUGCAAGUCGAUCGGCAGCACGGGUGCUUGCACCUGGUGGCGAGUGGCGAACGGGUGAGUAAUACAUCGGAACGUACCUUAUCGUGGGGGAUAACGCAGCGAAAGCUGUGCUAUUACCGCAUACGCCCUGAGGGGGAAAGCGGGGGAUCGAAAGACCUCGCGCGAUUAGAGCGGCCGAUGCCUGAUUAGCUUGUUGGUGGGGUAAAAGCCCACCAAGGCGACGAUCAGUAGCUGGUCUGAGAGGACGAUCAGCCACACUGGGACUGAGACACGGCCCAGACUCCUACGGGAGGCAGCAGUGGGGAAUUUUGGACAAUGGGGGCAACCCUGAUCCAGCAAUGCCGCGUGAGUGAAGAAGGCCUUCGGGUUGUAAAGCUCUUUUGUCAGGGAAGAAACACCGGCUCUAACACAGUCCGGGAAUGACGGUACCUGAAGAAUAAGCACCGGCUAACUACGUGCCAGCAGCCGCGGUAA